GAUGAACGCUGGCGGCGUGCCUAAUACAUGCAAGUCGAGCGAACAGACGAGGAGCUUGCUCCUCUGACGUUAGCGGCGGACGGGUGAGUAACACGUGGAUAACCUACCUAUAAGACUGGGAUAACUUCGGGAAACCGGAGCUAAUACCGGAUAAUAUAUUGAACCGCAUGGUUCAAUAGUGAAAGACGGUUUUGCUGUCACUUAUAGAUGGAUCCGCGCCGCAUUAGCUAGUUGGUAAGGUAACGGCUUACCAAGGCAACGAUGCGUAGCCGACCUGAGAGGGUGAUUGGCCCAAACGGAACUGAGAACCGGUCCAGAACCCUACGGGAGGCAGCAGUAGGGAAUCCUCCGCAAUGGGCGGAAGCCUGACGGAGCAACGCCGCGUGAGUGAUGAAGGUCUUCGGAUCGGAAAACUCUGUUAUUAGGGAAGAACAAAUGUGUAAGUAACUAUGCACGUCUUGACGGUACCUAAUCAGAAAGCCACGGCUAACUACGUG
This 497-nucleotide ribosomal RNA is filed under the name uncultured bacterium. RNAcentral's name for it is "partial 16S ribosomal RNA". It matches the Rfam family "Bacterial small subunit ribosomal RNA", at positions 28 to 507 of the family's 1533-position model. The record is from RNAcentral.